Raphanus sativus (radish) is the source of this 1518-nucleotide RNA transcript. RefSeq lists it as uncharacterized. NCBI's taxonomy places the organism in Eukaryota, Viridiplantae, Streptophyta, Magnoliopsida, Brassicales, Brassicaceae. The record is from RefSeq and is a predicted model, not a curated record. The transcript has 2 exons.
UAAUAAAAUCCAAAGUUACAGCCCAAAAUUUUUAAAAGGAAAUAUAUUGACUAUAGAAAUUAAAUUUUCUACAGCUUUUAUCAAAUGCUUUAAAAAAUAUUCAAAGUCAAAAAAAUAAAACCAAAACAAAAAUCUUACAGUCUAUUUUUCAAAACAAAAAAUCUAAAGCUACAAGCAACAACCAAUCAACCCCUAAAUCACUUGAAGAAACUUUGCCUUACAUAACGUUCUAUCACUAGGCGAUGCCCACUAUUUACAUUCUAUGUACCUACCUAUCAAAUCUAUUCUAAACCAAAUUAACAUUUAAAGAUAUAAUUUAUAUUUUCAAGAACUAUAGGUAAUUAGUACAUGAGAAUGACUUUUACUAAUAUCAACAUGUAAGAACUUAUUAAAGUUAAUUACUAAUUAGGAGAUAUACACUAAGCGUAGACGCUUAACUUUAAUUUACUUUCUUAUUUUUAUAUCUAGUUUAUAAAAAAUAUGUAUGAUCAUACCAACAGUAUAAAUUAAAAAAGAACGAUCAUCUAACCAAAUUUGAAAAAAAAGAGUCUAACAACACCAUUAAUUAGGACAUAUAUAAAACCUAUUAUAUAAUGCGUGAUGAGUAUAGUGAAGAGCCAGAUUUCUCUCCAAAUAAUCUCGAUAAGAAGUAUUAUCCGUAAAAAAAAAAAAAAGAGUUCCCACUCGAUUUUUUUGGUUUAACGCCACGUGUGCAUAAUAUCUAAUCGAACAGCUCUCUUGUCUGAAAGCAAUGGGCAAAUCUGUGGAACCCAAAGACUCUGACACGAAACUAUGGGUCCUAAAACAGCGUCGUUUAGCGGAAGCUUGCGUACUAAAACACAGAAAAAAAAAACGAAAACUGCAAGGAUUCAAAAAAGCUCUUAAUCAGAAGCAAACAAAAACCACCUCUGACAGUUGAAUUUUUUUUAGAUAAAAAAGCCUCUAUCUUCUUUGUUUUUGGUUACUGUUUUCACGAGAGUGUCUUCUCUAUUCGUUGUUACUCUUUCCUUUCCUUCUGAGUUAUGGUGUGAAAUGAUGGCAGCAGCAGAAGCAAGAGCAGUGUGGCAAAGAACAGCCAACCGUUACUUUGUCCAAGAAGACUCUAAAAGAGCUCCCAAGCUAACAACCUCUUCCCACUCUUCUUCAUCAUCAACGAAACAGGUUCAAGAAGAUCCUGUCUCUUCUCCUCCUCCUGUUGUUCGUCCACAGAACCAACCAUCUUCUCCAGGUUUCAUGCCUCUGAAUAUUCCUCUUCUGUUGGGUCAUCACAUUCAAGAAGAUUUGCUCCUGGGAUGGACUGUUGGAUGGAUGUAGUUGAUAUCUUUGUAGUUCAAAGCGAAGAGGAGAAUAGAGAGAGACCUGGAAAGUUUUGUUUUUUUUUCUUUGAAAAAUGUAACUCUUCUUGAAAUGAGUUUUUUAAGAUUUACUUGUAUUGUAAUGCUGCAGCUUAUGGAUUUGGUUAAAUGAGAGAAUGUAAUUUGUUGUAAGAAUUUUGUUAAAUAUUGUGUGUUUAUAAUA